RNAcentral lists this ribosomal RNA (1385 nucleotides) under metagenome. RNAcentral's name for it is "bacterial LSU rRNA". It matches the Rfam family "Bacterial large subunit ribosomal RNA", at positions 1520 to 2925 of the family's 2925-position model. The record is from RNAcentral.
GUACCAGUCACUUUGGCAAAUCCGGGUGGCAAUGGGAAGCCGUGAUGCGGAGCGAAAUAAAGUAGCGAAGUCCGUGAGCCAUGCGUCAAGAAAAGCCGCUAUCGUUUAUACCGUACCCGUACCGUAAACCGACACAGGUGGAUGAGGAGAGAAUCCUAAGGCCGGCGGAAGAAGCAUUGUCAAGGAACUCGGCAAAAUGGCCCCGUAACUUAGGGAUAAGGGGUGCCUGGGAAACCAGGCCGCAGAGAAUAGGCUCAAGCAACUGUUUAGCAAAAACACAGGUCUAUGCGAAACCGAAAGGUGAGGUAUAUGGGCGGACGCCUGCCCGGUGCUGGAAGGUUAAGAGGAGAGGUUAGCGGUAACGCGAAGCUUUGAAUUUAAGCCCCAGUAAACGGCGGCCGUAACUAUAACGGUCCUAAGGUAGCGAAAUUCCUUGUCGGGUAAGUUCCGACCCGCACGAAAGGCGUAAUGAUUUGAGCGCUGUCUCGACAAUGCAUCCGGUGAAAUUGAAGUACCAGUGAAGAUGCUGGUUACCUGCGCCAGGACGGAAAGACCCCCUGGAGCUUUACUCCAGUCUGGUACUGGGACUCGGUAUUGCAUGUACAGGAUAGGUGGGAGGCUAGGAGAUGGUAACGCCAGUUGCCAUGGAGCCGCUGUUGGGAUACCACCCUUGCAGUAUUGGGUUUCUAACCAGCCGCCGUGACCCGGCGGUGGGACAAUGCCAGACGGGGAGUUUGACUGGGGCGGUCGCCUCCGAAAGGGUAUCGGAGGCGCCCAAAGGUUCCCUCAGAAUGGACGGAAACCAUUCGAAGAGUGCAAAGGCAGAAGGGAGCUUGACUGCGACACCGACGGGUGGAGCAGGUACGAAAGUAGGGCUUAGUGAUCCGGUGGUAUUAAGUGGGAAUGCCAUCGCUCAACGGAUAAAAGCUACCCUGGGAUAACAGGCUUAUCACUCCCAAGAGUUCACAUCGACGGAGUGGUUUGGCAUCUCGAUGUCGGCUCAUCGCAUCCUGGGGCUGUAGUAGGUCCCAAGGGUUGGGCUGUUCGCCCAUUAAAGCGGUACGCGAGCUGGGUUCAGAACGUCGUGAGACAGUUCGGUCCCUAUCCGGCGUGGGCGUAGGAUAUCUGAGAGGAGCUGUCCUUAGUACGAGAGACCGGGAUGGACGGGCCGCUGGUGCAUCGGUUAGACUGCCAAGUCUACGGCCGAGUAGCCAAGCCCGGAAGGGAUAAACGCUGAAGGCAUCUAAGCGUGAAGCCCCCCUUAAGAUGAGAUAUCCCAUUCGUUAAGAAGUAAACCCCCUUGAAGACGACGAGGUAGAUAGGGCAGAGGUGGAAGUGCAGUAAUGCAUGGAGCUGACUGUUACUAAUCGGGUGAGGGCUUGAUC